Molecule: ribosomal RNA, 468 nt
Filed under: uncultured bacterium
Lineage: Bacteria
Description: partial 16S ribosomal RNA
Rfam family: Bacterial small subunit ribosomal RNA
Source: RNAcentral
GACGAACGCUGGCGGCGUGCUUAACACAUGCAAGUCGAACGGAAAGGCCCUGCUUUUUUGGCUUUCUCGAGUGGCGAGCGAAUGAGUAACACAUGCGUAACCUACCCUUGCCUUUCUGAUAACUUCGCGAACCUGAGGCUAAUACCUGCUAGAAGCUCCUUCUGCCUGGUGUGGGUUGGAUAGUUUCGGCGGUUGGGGAUGGACUCGCGGCUUAUGGUCUUGUUGGUUGGGUAGUGGCUUACCACGGCAUUGACGGUUAGCCGGCCUGAGAGGGUAACCGGACAAAUUGGGACUGAGAUAUGGCCCAGAAGGCUACGGGAGGCAGCAGUGGGGAAUAUGGCAAAAUGGGCGGAAGCCUGACGCAGCAACGCAGCGUGCGGGAUGACGGGCUUCGGGUUGUAAACCGCUUUCGCCUGUGACGAAGCGUGAGUGACGGUAAUGGGUAAAGAAGCACCGGCUAACUACGUG